GUGGGGAAUAUUGGGCAAUGGGCGCAAGCCUGACCCAGCAACGCCGCGUGAGGGAAGAAGGUUUUCGGAUUGUAAACCUCUGUCCUCAGGGACGAAGGAAGUGACGGUACCUGAGGAGGAAGCCCCGGCUAACUACGUGCCAGCAGCCGCGGUAAUACGUAGGGGGCGAGCGUUGUCCGGAAUUACUGGGCGUAAAGGGCGCGCAGGCGGCCGAUCAAGUCAGAUGUGAAACCCCCGGGCUCAACCUGGGAACUGCAUUUGAAACUGGUUGGCUUGAGUGCAGGAGAGGAAAGCGGAAUUCCUAGUGUAGCGGUGAAAUGCGUAGAUAUUAGGAAGAACACCAGUGGCGAAGGCGGCUUUCUGGACUGCAACUGACGCUGAGGCGCGAAAGCGUGGGGAGCGAACAGGA
This 409-nucleotide ribosomal RNA is filed under the name uncultured bacterium. RNAcentral describes it as "bacterial SSU rRNA". It matches the Rfam family "Bacterial small subunit ribosomal RNA", at positions 354 to 777 of the family's 1533-position model. The record is from RNAcentral.